Molecule: ribosomal RNA, 443 nt
Filed under: uncultured bacterium
Lineage: Bacteria
Description: partial 16S ribosomal RNA
Rfam family: Bacterial small subunit ribosomal RNA
Source: RNAcentral
CCUACGGGUGGCGGCAGUGGGGAAUAUUGGGCAAUGGGCGCAAGCCUGACCCAGCAACGCCGCGUGAAGGAAGAAGGCUUUCGGGUUGUAAACUUCUUUUUUGAGGGACGAAGAAACUGACGGUACCUCAGGAAUAAGCCACGGCUAACUACGUGCCAGCAGCCGCGGUAAUCCGUAGGUGGCAAUCGUUGUCCGGAUUUAUUGGGUGUAAAAGGCGUGUAGGCUGGAAAGCAAGUCCGAUGUGAAAACUCAGGGCUCAACCCUGAUCCUGCAUUUGACACUGUUUUGCUUGAGUGCUGGAGAGGCAAUCGGAAUUCCGUGUGUAGCGGUGAAAUGCGUAGAUAUACGGAGGAACACCAGUGGCGAAGGCGGAUUGCUGGACAGUAACUGACGCUGAGGCGCGAAAGCGUGGGGAGCAAACAGGAUUAGAUACCCGUGUAGAC